Triticum aestivum (bread wheat) is the source of this 1164-nucleotide long non-coding RNA. RefSeq lists it as uncharacterized. The record is from RefSeq and is a predicted model, not a curated record. NCBI's taxonomy places the organism in Eukaryota, Viridiplantae, Streptophyta, Magnoliopsida, Poales, Poaceae. The transcript is spliced from 2 exons.
AGAAAAAAAAAAAUCACCACCACCCCCGCUUACCUUAUCCACACUCCCGCAUCCCCAUUCUCCCGCGGAUCCUCCCCGCCGCCGACGCACUUCCAUCUCCCCCAGCCGCCGCUGCCGUGGUUCCUCCGCCGCCCCUUCCCUUCACCCACCUUCCCGCAACCUCUCUCAACCCUCCCAACAACCCGCCAGCCAACCUCCGGCUGCCGCCCACCCGCCGGCUUGCCGCCGCCCCAUCUCCUAAGGGCGCGCCGCCGCCCUGCCUCCUCCUAAGGGCGCUUCCUCCUAGCGUGUCGCCGCCCCAACUACUUCCGGUUCGAGGCCACCGCACCACCUUUUCCGGCGCAUGGCACCCGAUCCAGACGCGCUCCACCCGCCCACCCGGUCCCCGCGCUCUUCCCACCGGCUCCCUCCGGUCCAGAGGCGCCUCCCACUGCCGCCCGAGGCCACCGAGCCCCACCCCUUAGCCAUCCUCGACCCCUGUCCCUGCCGCGCCCGUCGGCGAGGUUAACGUAGCUCCGGUGGCUUCUCUUCAGUCCAUGAACGAGGUUGCUCAUGGCACGCACGAGCUGGGGAGGCUGCAGUUUUGCGGCGCGUACACACAGUUCGUCGUUGGCCUGUGGCAUCAUCCUGCUGGUCAGCGACCAACGGAGCUGGCCUGAGGCGUGGUCUUGCUCGCCGGCGCUAGGCGCAGCUCGGCUGGAAGGAAGAAGGAGCCUGUGAAGUUCGGCCGGUGAGCCUAUGCAGUCCGACGACGCAUUUGUGCUUGUGUCCUGUUCACGGGCAUAGCGUGUGUGAUGGUUGUGUGCACACGACAGCCACAAGGUGUUAAGAGAAACCAAGCUAGAAGCAUAAGGCAAUACCUUCAUACGCGUGUGCACGCAAGAAAGACACAGAGAAGUUCAGGCAAUAUGAUGAUGCAGGAGCGGCAGCAUCAAUGGCAACUCGAGUAAAUUUCUCAUGGUCAUUCGAAUAAAAAAUGGCAGCGACUUCGCGGUGGCCGGCAUCUAGAAUGCUUGGUCAAAACUAAAGUCUGAGUGUUGCUAGGUACAUUCGGAUUAAUACAUUUACACUUUUCUUCAGGAAGAUAUUUGUAAGUCUGAACAUGGUGUUCCUUUCUCUUCAGGAAGGUAUUUGCUUUAAAAAGAAUACAUUACGUCAGUCCAA